AUGCCCUAGGGCUAGUGGAAGACUUAAGAUGGCGGCGUUUGCACGGAGUGCAAUCACUGCGUCCUUACGGGGGUUGCAAGGCGUCCGAAGUAUGAGUCCACUAACAAAAGUCCAGAAACUCGCCAGUUAAUAGUAUUGUGUCUCUUCAAAAUAUCGGAGAAUAAUUUCUUUCUCGCUGAUCGCCUAACUUCUACUGACGAAGCUUGGAAGUUGCAGAAGACAUGAUGUAUUGAGUAAAAGGAACUUCGGUACACAGGCCUUUAGUGAUGUGGUGGUAAGAUGUAUGAUGGAGUUCGCUCUUGUUGCCCAGGCUGGAAUGCAAUGGCAUGACCUUGGCUCACUGCAACCUCUGCCUCCCCAGUUCAAGUGGUUCUCCUGCCUCAGCCUCCCGAGUAGCUGAGAUUACAGGUACUGGCUCCUGUAUCACCCAGCUCUGGAGUUGAAAGAGCUCUUCAUUCCUGAGUCUCCUGUACCACUGAGAAUAGGCUGGAGUGCAGUGGCGCAAUCUCGGCUCUCUGCAACCUUCACCUCCCGUGUUCAAGUGAUUCUCCUGCCUCAGCCUCCUGAAUACCUGAGAUUACAAGCAUGCACCACCACGCCCGUCUAAUUUUGUAUUUUCACUAGAGACGGGGUUUCUCCAUGUUGGUCAGGCUGGUCUCGAACUCCCGACCUCAGGUGAUCCGCCCGCCUCAGCCUCCCAAAGUGCUGGGAUUACAGGCAUGAGCCACCGCGUCCAGCAAGAAUAGGUGAUUUUCAAACUUGGAAACAUUCAGAAGUUAUCGCCUCAGUUUCAGAUUGAGUAGUCUCAAAGAGAUUACAGACAUCUACCACAAAUUCUCUACUUGGUGUGGUGCAAAAUCAGUAUGAUGUAAACUUUGUCUCUCAGUUUCUUCAAAGGAAAGAAGCAACUGGAACACACAUAUAACACUAACCCUUCCAGCUGCAUUAUGAGGGACCAGUACCUGUCUCAAGGCAAAAUUAUGACUUAGUUCAUCCUCACCUCUGGAGGCCAGUAAAAGUGGGUUAUAGAAGAACAAAGAGGCAUCUAGAUCUUUCACUGGGUUAUUUGGAGAGAAACAUCUCCUACCGAAGGCCAGUUUAACAAGACUGGUAGAGGAGGUUAUCUUAUCUAAUUCACAGAAAUCAACACAUUGAGUCAAGAAAAAUGAAACACAGAAACACUCUAAAUAAAAGAAGAUAAGUCUUCAGAAACCAACCCUAAUGAAAUGAAGAUAUGUGAUUAACCUGACAGGAAAUUAAAAAGAGCAACCAUAAAGAGUCUCAUGGGAGCAAUGCAUGAACAAACUGAGAAUUUUCAUAAAGAAAUAAAAGAUAACAAAAAGUAUAAAGUUGAAGAAUACAAUAACUGGACUCAAAAAUUUAAUGUGUCCAACAGAAGAAUCGAUGAAGCAGAAGAAAGGGCUAUCAAACUUGUAGAUAGGCCAUUGGAAAUCAUGUAAUGUGAGGAGAAAAAAGAAAAAAGAUUGAAGAUAGUUUAAGAGACUUUUGAGACAUCCUCAAAGGGGAAUAAUUUAUACAUUACCAGAUGGAGAAGAUAGAGGGAAAAGGACAGAAAACAUAUUUGAAGAAAUAAUGUCAGAAAACCUCAUAAUUCUGGCAAGGAAAUAGAAAUUUAGAUCUAAGAAUCUCGAACAUCAGGUAUGAUGAAUCCAAGGAGACUCACACCAAACCAUAUUGUAAUUAAAUAAAGGUUAAAGACAAUCUUCAGAGCAGCAAGGGAAUAGUCUCUUCUUACAUACAAAAUGAUCCACGGAAGACUGUCAGCAGACUUCACCAGAAAACUUUCACGCCAGAAGGCAGUCGUGAUAUAUACAAAAAGCUGAAAGGAAAA
Homo sapiens (human) is the source of this 1852-nucleotide long non-coding RNA. Ensembl annotates it as JPX transcript, XIST activator. Its record names the gene JPX. Lineage: Eukaryota; Metazoa; Chordata; Mammalia; Primates; Hominidae. The record is from Ensembl.